CAGCCGCCGCGGGAAUACGGAGGGGGCUAGCGUUGUUCGGAAUUACUGGGCGUAAAGCGUGCGUAGGCGGCUUUGUAAGUUAGAGGUGAAAGCCCAGGGCUCAACCCUGGAAUUGCCUUUAAGACUGCAUCGCUUGAACGUCGGAGAGGUGAGUGGAAUUCCGAGUGUAGAGGUGAAAUUCGUAGAUAUUCGGAAGAACACCAGUGGCGAAGGCGACUCACUGGACGACUGUUGACGCUGAGGCACGAAAGCGUGGGGAGCAAACAGGAUUAGAUACCCCGGUAGUCCCUGUCUCUUAUAC
This 301-nucleotide ribosomal RNA is filed under the name uncultured bacterium. RNAcentral's name for it is "partial 16S ribosomal RNA". It matches the Rfam family "Bacterial small subunit ribosomal RNA", at positions 509 to 807 of the family's 1533-position model. The record is from RNAcentral.